This 513-nucleotide ribosomal RNA is filed under the name uncultured soil bacterium. Its description in RNAcentral is "bacterial SSU rRNA". It matches the Rfam family "Bacterial small subunit ribosomal RNA", at positions 348 to 862 of the family's 1533-position model. The record is from RNAcentral.
GCAGCAGUAGGGAAUAUUGGUCAAUGGAUGCAAGUCUGAACCAGCCAUGCCGCGUGCAGGAAGAAGGCCUUCUGGGUUGUAAACUGCUUUUGCCGGGGGAUAAAAUUUCCAUGCGUGGGACAUUGAAGGUACCCGGUGAAUAAGCCACGGCUAACUACGUGCCAGCAGCCGCGGUAAUACGUAGGUGGCAAGCGUUGUCCGGAUUUAUUGGGUUUAAAGGGUGCGUAGGCGGUCUUGUAAGUCAGUUCUGAAAUAUCCCGGCUUAACCGGGAGGGUGGGAUUGAUACUGCAGGACUUGAGUGGAGUCGAGGUAGGCGGAAUUGACGGUGUAGCGGUGAAAUGCUUAGAUAUCGUCAAGAACACCGAUAGUGUAGACAGCUUACUAGUCUCAAACUGACGCUGAGGCACGAAAGUGUGGGGAUCAAACAGGAUUAGAUACCCUGGUAGUCCACACUGUAAACGUUGAUUACUCGCUGUGUGCGAUAUACCGUACGCGGCCCAGCGAAAGCGAUA